AAAGUUUGUUGAAUGAACAAAUUAAUGAAAGGAAGACUAUGUAUGCGGAGAGGCCUGUGGUUUUGGGUUACUGUUUUAGGUCCCCUGUGAUUGGAGCAACACACACACUGUCAAGCGCAGGGCCUCGUCCACAGAGCUCGCCAGAACACAAGGAGCACUGUGCAGAGCUUUCAACGGCGGAACGGCGAGGGACAUAAUGCGUUUCAGUAGACAACAAAAAUAAGAAAAGGAGCCCAACGUCAAACUUAACAUGAUCGCUUCAAUUUCCAAGUGCUUUUGGGUCUUUUCAUGUUGGCUUCAUGGGAAUUCAUGCUUGUGGAGAAGACUGUGUUUGCUA
Molecule: non-coding RNA, 337 nt
Organism: Microcebus murinus (gray mouse lemur)
Lineage: Eukaryota; Metazoa; Chordata; Mammalia; Primates; Cheirogaleidae
Source: RefSeq, a predicted model, not a curated record